CGGUUAAACGACGUUUGUGAAACUGGUCCUAAAAGUCCCAGUGAGAAAUGAUUCGUCGAAUCGACAUUGUUUCGAUAUCGAUCGACCAGUCAUUUCUUGCUGGCUUGUCAUCAGAAGGUUUAUCAGCCACUUUUAGAGGCGCUUUUAUCGAUAAAAGAGGGUUCAGAAUAUGCGAGCUUAGACUUCGAGAUGCAUUAGCCACUGGAGGGACAUUUUGGCUACGAGUCUCGUCAGCAAUCGUCACGCUCGAUCGGGCGUCACAAUUUUGCUUAUCACGAUUUUUGCGAGCGACACUCGUGAAUUGACGAGAUCGGGCUUUACGUUGAAGGCAAGCGGAAGCCCGAAGCUGACGGGCCACUUCUGUCGCGUGAGAACAUUCGUGGCGCUUCGUUCGGGAAGAAAUAUACGCCGCGAAGAAAGUAAACGAAGACUUUCUGCUAAGUAGAAACUCGCGAACGCUAACGGUCAAUAAUCGCACAGUGGCCAGUAAGUGUAAGUGGCGUACUUACACUGUCUACAUGUAGAACGCUGAAACUGUCAUCUCAUAAGUAGCGCGGCUAAAUUAACAUAAAGAGAGACAGAGACAUGGAUUAUAUUUCGUACACCUGGACCCGUAGUCUGAAAGUCAUUGUAAAGUUGUUUAGAGGACAUCUUCGUCCGUCGCGACGUCCUUUGGACACCUUUCAAACGUCUCUCGGGCACCCAUGCUGUCCGAGCGAUAGCUUAAUUACUACUGUAAAGUGAUAGUCUAGAUAUUCUAAGCCGCGAUUACUCUGUUUACGCGAAGACGUCCAAGACUGGUACGUAGCCGUUUAAGAGACACACGACACAGGUAUACCGCGCCGUAAGUUUGUGCAAAUUUGUACUCUUUUAUGAGGAAAGUGCGGCGACAUGUUCUCUCUUCGUUCCAUCCGUGCGAUUCGCAAUAAACGAGGUCGCUACCUUGGAAUAUUUUGCUGAAAGUAUUGAAAUCGACGAGCAGUGAGACGAAGGUUACCGAAUGAUUACCGAAGGUGUUGCGUAAAUGUGAAUCUCCCUUAUGAAAUUCAAUGCAAUAUGAAAUAUCAGGAAAGUUAAAGUACACAUUGAAAAGCAAUUUAAAAAAAAGUUGAAGUAUUAGACAUUACGAAACUCUUGCUGAACUUGACUAAGACAAAUUCUUAAAAUAAUCUCUCGCCGAAUUUUCACGGAGAUAACGAAACGGUCGAGAGGGGAUUUUCAGCAAAAUUCCAUUAUAUUUUUAGCAAAAUGUUUCCGUCUCUUUUCUUUUCCUUUGUUUCAAAGAACUUGUCGCGCCGCUUGCAAUGACGACUUGCAGUCGCACGCUAUUAGAUCGCUACGAUUUCACUUGUUUUCGCGAAAAGAGGGAACUGAUCAACGCUAAAAUAUCGCGGCAGCGGCAUCAACAUAUCGACUAAAUGAUAGAGAGCUCCUGCUGCGAUGACGCUAUUAUCAUUUUGUCACCGCGGCAGCGACGAGAUCUAUCGUGUAGAUAGCGAACGAGAGAGAGAGAGAGAGAGGGGGGGGGGGAGAGAAAGAAAGAGACGAUUAUGUUUGUAAGGGAUGCAAUGUACCUAGUUUUUAGGGACCUAGAUAAGGCAAAGCUUCCUAUUUUCUCGCCCACGAAAGACAUCCGCGUUUCGGCUGGGACGGCUGGGAAUGUUAUUACCUGAAAUUUGUUUCACUAUAUCUUUACAAUUGUUACACUAUUGUAAUACACGAAAUCACUCAUUGACGUGCCGUGUAAAGUGUAUCGAGCGGAGCGUUUUUGAGUCUGAUCUAAUUUUAUUGUGUACCGACCGCGCACUAGUAAUGCGGUGGGUCGAAAGAGAGGUAGAAGAAAAAGGGGGGUAGAGAGAGACGAAGAAAGUAAUUUAGAUUUCUUCGCAUACUUUUCAGGGAGUAUUUUAUCAAAUUGAUUCUUGCGCGCGCGCGCGCGCAACACACACACACAUUCACACUCACGAAGAAAAUCUAAUCCUACCCGGCCGGUGACGAUCGGAUUAGCGUAAUAGUGAUACUAAUAUUAACAAUAUUAACAAUAGUCGUAACAUGUAAUCAUUAAGCUAUAAUCGGUGUUAAGGUAUUACCGUUAAUAAUUUGAUACUCGUUAGCUCCGACCGCUCAUAUAAUCAUCCUUGUACUUUUCGACCGACUCGCUCACGGUAGUCAAAGGACUUGGUCAAGUUGGAGCCGCCCUCGUAAAACAAAGGGCGAGACAGGUAUUGUGUAAGUGCAAGCGCGAGACGGAGAACGAGCGGAGAAGAGAUCUCGCAAUGGGGCGUACAGUGUGCACGGGUGAAUUAAAAACCGGAAGAUAAUUUCUAUCUGAAAAUUCCAAAGGAAACGGCAAGGCGAACGUCGUUAACGGUAUCGACAGUUGUCGGUAACCGUGUACGGAAUAGAGCCCCGGCGCGGGCGAGAAUAACGUCCCACUUGUACGCUACGUCAAUUUCGAUGUCAAUGUUGUCCUCUUCGUAGCUCGUGUACAUAUAUACAUAUAUAUAUUUAGGCCGUAAGUGUAUAUAUUUUAUACUGAAAUUGGUAACGCAGGAGAGUAGGAUUAAUAAGGUCAUACUGACAGUUGAGAAACCAAAGGAUUCGCGCGCGAUUUCCGCGCGUUUGCGGGCGAGGGAGCGAAGGAGGGAAACGAGAAAGAGACGCGCGUUUCUUCGCGGAGCAAUUCUUUUCUCGACGUUAUCGAAGCAAUAUGAGACAAGGCGGAAUAUAAUCAGUCACAUUUAAUACAUGUAAUGCCAUUACUUUGAUUACUUUUCGUUUGCUCUUUCCCCUCCGAUGUCGCUUGAAUGGCAUCGCGAACGUGAAAACGUACGAGACGGAUAACCGGACGUCGUUACGUGCGAAAGAUGUCGCGUAGUUAAUGCAUAAUGCGGCUAGGCUUUUACUUUUUUUAGAGACUCUGGCGCACUUGAACCUUUCCGGAAAUCAUAUUCGAACAGAAAUCUCAAUAUGCCUGUGCUGUGCCAUGUUUAAAUUAUUUAUCUUUUUAUCACGUGAAACCAAGGGCGAAUUUUGUGGAUCUUUUAGGUACGUCAAAAAGUUAUACUUGUGUAGUAAAAUCGCGGCUAUUAAAGACAUUAAAUGUUACGUCGUUGAAAUGGAUUCUCGAUAGAAAAAGAAUUGACGAGUAAAUAUUUCUCUUGCGUUUAUCACGCAUUUACGAGACUUAUUUAUCUUUUUUAAACUCAUUUAACAUUAGAGCCGUUGGCUGUAUGAAUAUCUUUUAAAAAAAAGGGAGGAAAAAUUGGAUCGAUUCAAUCGUUUACCAUGCAUUGCAACAGAAAUUAUACAAAUUCUCCAAAAAUAUGUCGUCAUUUUGAAACAAAGAUUACACAAACUAGUAAUUUUAACUGCAUUGGUACUUCUGGUGUUUACCGUAUGCUCAUCCGCGUCCACUUUCUGAUACGUUGCCUGCUGUAUCCAUUUCCAUUUCGCAUGUCCUUCUCAUUCUUAUGGCGAAUAAUAUUUUUAAUUUUAAUUAACAGCGUUUUUUAUUUCCACUUAUUCGUGCAUGCACCUGCUCUUAAUUGUCGCCCAUGAGAAACACUUUUUUUUAUUGAACAGCGAGAAAUAAAAUUCUAUUACACUGUACAUUCGGUACCGAUUACCAAACGCUUCAUUUCCACAAACAAACGCACUCCUACGUAAUGAUUGUUAAUCACAUAGCGGGAUAUAUAUAUUUAUCUGUGAUAUUUUCCUUUGUAUUAGUGGAAAGAAAGAGUUCGACUUAUUUCAAUUUAAUUGAGAACGAAUUGGAACAGGACUUCUCGAUCUCACGACAGAUGAAUCUUUUGUAUUCUAAUGCUAUUGAGACUGUUCUAGAUUAGAACUGCAAUUGCACAGACUCGUUUGUAUUUGGAAGCGGUAGAACAGAUUUUUCUCUUUCUUUUUUUUUUAACUUUUCAUAUUAAUAAUUUCCGUAUUGUAUCACUUCGUUUAAUUCCUGCAGCAUUUUUAUAGCUUUCUCUUUUCAUAAAGUACAAAGUGUCAGAUGGAAAAAUAUUUAGUUGCCUGAAAAAAUUAAGAUAGACAUUAUUAAUCUAUUUUAAUGUUGUUAAAUUCGCGAUAAUCGGCGAAAAUAUUGGGAAACGUGAAAAAUCGAAACUUAUAGUCACCUCUCGUUCGAAACGUUUACAAAACGUGGUGCUUGAAACUUGAGUGGUCCAGGAAUGUAAAAUAGAUAAACGCUUCACGGCAUACAUAUCUACGUUUUGAUUUCAGUUUAGGGUUCCCUCUUCCACAAUUAUUUAGUGUAUUUCAUACGUUCAACUUUUUUAUCGCUUUAAUUGUAAUUAGCCUGCGGCUUGUAGAUCGUGUUCUGCAAUUACGCACGCUACUUCGCGUCCACGAUCGGAACGGCGUAUACAAGUCCAAGGAAGGAACACAUAGGUUUUUAUAGCUAUCGAUAUAACGAGGAUAAGUAAUAUUAGCUACUAAAUACGACUUAUAUCCCGUAAUUGUAAGGGAGAAUUUAGUUCAGCGGUAUCUUAAGGUAUAACAAAGAACGCGAGACGAAGACGCAGAGAACGUAGUUCGAAAAGGAUCGGCCGACAAUCCACGAUUAAUUUCGCACUUCCCUAAUCGAUCGAACCGACCACGACUUCUGCGUUUCGGUUCAAUCAGUGCGCGCGAAUGCGAAUCGUCGUUCUACGCUCAUCUACCUUGAGGGGUGAUAAUAGUCUUUUCACGAUAUGUAACAUAUAUUUAUACACAAUGUCACGCGCUCUUUUUGCGUACGGGCGUGAUAAAUAUCUAGCAGAUACGACUGUGUUAUUUGUACGAAUAAUCUCAUUCGAGGCACAGGAUGUCCAUCAUUCAUGAAUAAAUAGAUUUCUUUACAAUA
Long non-coding RNA from Vollenhovia emeryi, 4864 nucleotides. RefSeq lists it as uncharacterized. NCBI's taxonomy places the organism in Eukaryota, Metazoa, Arthropoda, Insecta, Hymenoptera, Formicidae. The transcript has 2 exons. The record is from RefSeq and is a predicted model, not a curated record.